Molecule: non-coding RNA, 45 nt
Filed under: Trichobilharzia regenti
Lineage: Eukaryota; Metazoa; Platyhelminthes; Trematoda; Strigeidida; Schistosomatidae
Source: RNAcentral
AUCCUGAUGACGAAUCCUAAAAAGGACGAAAUGCGAAUCAUGGAU